AUUUCAUGGUGUGGGCAUUGUCUCAAAAGGUUCUUAAAACGAUCAAAGUACUUCCAAAAAGACUCACCGACUAAUUGGUAAAAUUGAUUAAUUUCAUUCCUAAAUUU
This is a small nucleolar RNA of Elaeis guineensis (African oil palm), 107 nucleotides long. Lineage: Eukaryota; Viridiplantae; Streptophyta; Magnoliopsida; Arecales; Arecaceae. The record is from RefSeq and is a predicted model, not a curated record.